This 118-nucleotide ribosomal RNA is filed under the name Clostridium sp. AF23-8. Lineage: Bacteria; Bacillati; Bacillota; Clostridia; Eubacteriales; Clostridiaceae. The record is from RNAcentral.
GCUGGUGGUGAUGCGCUUAGGGGGCACACCCGUUCCCAUCCCGAACACGAUGGUUAAGACCUAAGCGGCCGAUGGUACUGCACUGGAGACGGUGUGGGAGAGUAGGUGGCUGCCGGCU